GUGGACCAGCGGGUGUUCAGAGACCUCCUGAGUGAGAAGCUGCCUCGACUGCACACCCAUUUUGAGCAGUACAAAGUGGACUACACCCUCAUCACCUUCAACUGGUUUCUGGUGGUAUUCGUGGACAGCGUUGUCAGCGACAUCCUCUUUAAGAUAUGGGACUCUUUCCUUUAUGAGGGACCAAAGGUGAGGAGACUCUGCAGAUAUAGACACUUGUCAGAUGUGUCAGUACUGGCAGAGUAGCCAACUCACCUGGAACUUGUGAGGUUACCCCAGCAUCAGAUCUGCCUCCCUGUGAUGUGCCCCGCAGGCCUUGGGGAGCAGCAGUUACUCAUCCAUGAAGGACCUCACUGUGAAGCUAUCCUGUCCUAGAGUAAACUAGCAUAACACUCAGUGGCUUCAUGCUCCAGCACUUGCCUUGCUCAUGGGAGGCCUCUAGGUUCAGUCCCUGUCCUCCUGCUGCCUCCUGCUACUGCGCUACACCGUAGCACAGCACAUAAGAAAUAAUAAACAAAAGGCUGGUGGGACAGCACAACAAGCCUCACAGCCCGAGUCUAAAUCUCUGUGAUUACAUGUCGGCAGGAAAGAACCAACUUCUGCAAGUUUUCCUCUGACCUCUACACAUAAGCAUAUAAACAGACCAAAUAAAGAAGUUUAGUAAAAAUAAAAACUAAAUAUAACUAAGGAUAUAUAAUAGG
This 698-nucleotide long non-coding RNA is filed under the name Rattus norvegicus (Norway rat). RNAcentral describes it as "long non-coding RNA NONRATT028867". Lineage: Eukaryota; Metazoa; Chordata; Mammalia; Rodentia; Muridae. The record is from RNAcentral.